RNAcentral lists this long non-coding RNA (548 nucleotides) under Anser cygnoides (Swan goose). RNAcentral describes it as "lncRNA (ENSACDG00005012936.1)". Lineage: Eukaryota; Metazoa; Chordata; Aves; Anseriformes; Anatidae. The record is from RNAcentral.
GGGACCCCCGUAAGUGUCCCUCUGUGCUCCCCGCUCUGUGGGCCGCAGCAGCCCCCAGCCCCCCGAUUCCUGCCUCUCCCCCUUGCGACCCCCCCGGGCAGACGGUGACAGCGUGGUCCUGGCCACGCCACGGCUGCAGAGUGGCCCUGGGGACAGGGCUGUCACCGCUGCUCGCUGGGCGGACUGGCCGGGGAGACUUAAUGCCACCUCCCGCCCCCAGGGACCCCCCGGAGCCCAGGGCCCCCCAGGAAUGGCAGCAGAGAAAGGAGCCAAGGGAUCUCCGGGUCCUAAAGGUGCCGUGGGCCCCCCCGGGCCACCAGGACCCAGCGUCACCGGGCCACCGGUAGGUCCUGCCCCGGGGGGGGGACACUGCCAUCCUCCCCCAGCCCCUUGAUGCUGGCUGGGGGCUGAGCCCAGGGCCGAGCUUCCUCACGCUCCUCUUCCUCGCAGGGCCCCGAGGGGCAGCGGGGGCUCCCCGGGGUGCCCGGCUCCAGCGGGCUGCCGGUAGGUACGGGACUGGGGGGGGGACGGGGGCACGGAGGGGGCUG